RNAcentral lists this long non-coding RNA (262 nucleotides) under Rattus norvegicus (Norway rat). RNAcentral's name for it is "long non-coding RNA NONRATT022378". Lineage: Eukaryota; Metazoa; Chordata; Mammalia; Rodentia; Muridae. The record is from RNAcentral.
GGCCAUGAAGAAAAUAGAAGACAACAACACGCUUGUGUUAUUGGAUGUUAAGGCCAACAAGACCCAAAUCAAACAGGCCGUGAAGAAACACGUCAAUUGACAUUGAUGCGGCCAAAGUCAAUACCCUGAUAUGGCCUGGCGGAGAGAAGAAGGCAUAUGUUCGCUUGGUUCCUUAUUAUGACGCUCUAGAUGCUGCCAACAAGAUUGGGCUCAUCUAAAGUGAGUCCAGAUGGUUAAUUCUAAAUAUAUACUUUUACCAUAA